Non-coding RNA from Bos taurus (domestic cattle), 73 nucleotides. NCBI's taxonomy places the organism in Eukaryota, Metazoa, Chordata, Mammalia, Artiodactyla, Bovidae. The record is from Rfam.
UCCCUGGUGGUCCAGUGGCUGAGACUCUGUGUUCUCAAUGCAGGGGGCCCGGGUUCCAUCCCUGGUCAGGGAA